This 523-nucleotide ribosomal RNA is filed under the name uncultured Fidelibacterota bacterium. RNAcentral's name for it is "bacterial SSU rRNA". It matches the Rfam family "Bacterial small subunit ribosomal RNA", at positions 8 to 513 of the family's 1533-position model. Lineage: Bacteria; Pseudomonadati; Fidelibacterota. The record is from RNAcentral.
AGGGUUUGAUCAUGGCUCAGGACGAACGCUGGCGGCGUGCUUUAUACAUGCAAGUCAAGGAGAACGCUUCCUUCGGGAAGCUAUUAAACUGGCGAACGGGUGAGUAACGCGUAGGCAACCUGCCCUAGAGAUUGGGAUAACAUCGGGAAACCGGUGCUAAUACCGAAUAAUGCAGCGGAUCCUUCGGGAUACAGUUGUUAAAGUGGGCUUCGGCUCACACUUUAGGAUGGGCCUGCGUCCGAUUAGCUUGUUGGUGGGGUAACGGCCUACCAAGGCAAUGAUCGGUAGCUGGUCUGAGAGGAUGAUCAGCCACACUGGGAUUGAGAUACGGCCCAGACUCCUACGGGAGGCAGCAGUAGGGAAUUUUGCGCAAUGGGGGAAACCCUGACGCAGCAACGCCGCGUGACCGAUGAAGCUUCUAGGAGCGUAAAGGUCUGUCGUAAGGGAAGAAAAGUUUGGAUGUGAAUAAUGUUCGAACCUGACGGUACCUUACAAGAAAGCACCGGCUAACUUCGUGCCAGCC